Ornithorhynchus anatinus (platypus) is the source of this 705-nucleotide long non-coding RNA. RefSeq lists it as uncharacterized. The record is from RefSeq and is a predicted model, not a curated record. The transcript has 3 exons. NCBI's taxonomy places the organism in Eukaryota, Metazoa, Chordata, Mammalia, Monotremata, Ornithorhynchidae.
GUGGGGAUUCCGGUGUCGGGACGGCUUCUCAUUUGCGACGCGCGACAAUUUCCUCCCGUCUGAAAAGCCAGCGCCGCGAGUCAAUAGACUGGAAAUCGCACUUGGAAAAUGGGAUCAUCUUAACUAAAGCCGGCCUCUACCUUCCCCAGGAGUGCAGUACCUGCUUCGCCGCCCCCCUCCUUUUAAUAAUUUGCGAGCUGUCAGAGGCCUAAGCGGGUGAUUCAUCUUGUCUUUCACGGGCAACAGACGGCGAUGUCUAGACCGACCCGGGACCGGAAGCCGAUAAAUUAGAAUCUCUUUAUUGGAGAAGGAACAGCGAGCGGCUCCAAAGGCCGAUCCCUGUGAUAAGUGGCACGCGAGCACACGGACCCGCAGACACAAACGCACUUGUUCCGCGUCAGCUCUUCGUGCAGCUGAUUCCAUCUCCGUCUCUCAGAUCGAUAUCCCCAGGCAGGAAGGCGACAGAGCAGCUACUCUCCCCACGAAACGCAGAGAUGUUAUCAUAAAUGCUCAUCUUCAAAACCCAAUCAAACUAUCAGCUCCCGGGACUCAGUCAAUAACAACUGACAUUUCUAUGAAUCCUGAGAUUCGACCGGCCCUCCCGGUGCUUUAAUGCCACGGAAAGGGCAACCCGGCUUCUGGACCUUAACGACUCGCUGACCAAUUAGGAGUGAGCUGAAGGAAUAAAUUCCCAGGCAGACACAA